Molecule: long non-coding RNA, 423 nt
Organism: Pogoniulus pusillus (Red-fronted tinkerbird)
Lineage: Eukaryota; Metazoa; Chordata; Aves; Piciformes; Lybiidae
Exons: 3
Source: RefSeq, a predicted model, not a curated record
CCAACUGGGCAGAGGGAUCCUCCUCACAUCAUCAUCGGUGCUGGGUCUCUUUAGGCUGAGCUUCUCUUUGUUUAGCUUAUUCCUUCUGCUUGCUCAUGAAGAGUUGAAGUACUUGGUGGAACUGGAAGCUCACAGGAGAAUACACUGCUUUAAGUCAGAAGAGUGUAUUGCCAGCACUGUAUCAAACAUAAGGAGCAUUCUACAUUCAAAUUCCAUAGACAAUAUCAAUGUUUGCAGAUAGUUUCAAGUAUUUAGACUGCAUUCAUCUGUUAUCAUGAAUGAAUUUCUUUUGUUAUAGAAUGUUCUCAUUUUCUUUUCAAUGAAAGGACAACAUGAAUAUGGUAACUUCAUGAUCUCUUUAAAGAGGUGUUUCUUUACCCAAAGACUGUUAGAUGUAACUUAGAGAAAUAAAAAAAAAGAAGU